This 449-nucleotide ribosomal RNA is filed under the name uncultured bacterium. Its description in RNAcentral is "partial 16S ribosomal RNA". It matches the Rfam family "Bacterial small subunit ribosomal RNA", at positions 328 to 793 of the family's 1533-position model. The record is from RNAcentral.
GUGCCAGACUCCUACGGGAGGCAGCAGUGGGGGAUAUUGCACAAUGGGGGGAACCCUGAUGCAGCGACGCCGCGUGGGUGAAGGAGUAUUUCGGUAUGUAAAGCCCUAUCGGCAGGGAAGAAGCAAGACGGUACCUGACUAAGAAGCCCCGGCUAACUACGUGCCAGCAGCCGCGGUAAUACGUAGGGGGCAAGCGUUAUCCGGAUUUACUGGGUGUAAAGGGGGCGCAGACGGCAGCGCAAGCCAGGAGGGAAAGCCCGGGGCCCAACCCCGGGACUACUCUUGGAACUGCGCGGCUGGAGUGCAGGAGGGGCAGGCGGAAUUCCUGGUGUAGCGGUGAAAUGCGUAGAUAUCAGGAGGAACACCGGUGGCGAAGGCGGCCUGCUGGACCGCGACUGACGUUGAGGCUCGAGAGCGUGGGGAGCAAACAGGAUUAGAUACCCCAGUAC